AAAAUCAUCAUAAGAAAUUAUGUCACAUCCGACCCUUAAAUUUUUACCUUAUUUACUAGCUUGGUUAUAAUAAGAAUUUUACCGUCUCCGUCAUUGAGGUAAUAGUUUAAUCGGUCCCUAGAGGUGUUUUGAGGGACGAUUAAUUUCGGGGAGUUAUUCGUGGGAGAAAAUAUGACAACGGUAAAAAUGGUAAAUAUUAGCUAGUAAAAAGUAAUUUUUAUACGAGUAUUAUUUUUCGGGGUGUUUUAUUUCUGGAUUUGGGUGGUAUAAGAAGGUUGGACCGGGCCAAGGGGUGGUCAAAGCCCAGCCCUUUUUUCUCUCUCUCUCCCUCCCGGUUUUCCGCACCCGAGCCUCUCUCUCCCCGCCGGUUUUCUUCUUGGCUGCCCGCCGCCGUCCGGCCACCAACCGCUGCCGCACCGGUCCUGUUCGGUCGACCAUCAACCCAGCCACCUUCCUGGACCGGUGACAGCCCCCCUAGCGCCGCCGAUCGGGUGGAAUCUAGCUCCCUCCUCCGGCCGCCAAAGACGGGCGAUUCUUGGCUGAAAAGAAAGCUCUCCUCCCGUGCAGCAACCCCUCCAAAGAGCUCGCCCUCUCGUGGUCUAGGUAAGGAGAACCGGUGAGUGGAAGCUCUAGGGCUUUUUGAGUUGUUUUCGUUCGAUUAGCCUAGUUAGGCUUGGAAUUGGGUGUUGUGCUGGUCAUGAAAGUUGUAGAGCAUGAUGAGGUGAUUGUUCUGUCAAAAUUUCAUAGGUUUUGGAGGUCGCCGGAUUUGGCCUCCGGCCGCCGCUGCCGGUUAAGAGAUUUUUAGGGUUUUAAGUGUGGAAUAUUAAGAGGAGUAUAUUGAUGUGAUUUAUGGAAUUUUUGGAUGAGAUUUGGAUAGGUUUGUGAAUUUCUGAAGUGUGGUAUUUUUGGCGGUUAAUUAAUGUAGAAUCCGGCCGUAGGAUUUAAGUCGUAUUUUUGGGGAGGUUGUAAUUACGGCUGCCGAGUAUGAUAUUUAAGUUCGGAUCGUUUCGAUUUAAGAAUAUCGAAAUUAGGCAAUGAUGAGCGUAGUU
RNAcentral lists this long non-coding RNA (1049 nucleotides) under Fragaria vesca (wild strawberry). RNAcentral's name for it is "long non-coding RNA (FVES_LNC004458)". Lineage: Eukaryota; Viridiplantae; Streptophyta; Magnoliopsida; Rosales; Rosaceae. The record is from RNAcentral.